AUUGAACGCUGGCGGAAUGCUUUACACAUGCAAGUCGAACGGCAGCACGGGGCAACCUGGUGGCGAGUGGCGAACGGGUGAGUAAUAUAUCGGAACGUGCCCAAUCGUGGGGGAUAACGUAGCGAAAGUUACGCUAAUACCGCAUACGAUCUACGGAUGAAAGCGGGGGAUCGCAAGACCUCGCGCGAAUGGAGCGGCCGAUAUCAGAUUAGGUAGUUGGUGGGGUAAAGGCUCACCAAGCCAACGAUCUGUAGCUGGUCUGAGAGGACGACCAGCCACACUGGAACUGAGACACGGUCCAGACUCCUACGGGAGGCAGCAGUGGGGAAUUUUUGGACAAUGGGCGCAAGCCUGAUCCAGCCAUUCCGCGUGAGUGAAGAAGGCCUUCGGUGUAAGCUCUUUCUAGCAGGAACGAAACGGUAGGUCCCGUAAC
RNAcentral lists this ribosomal RNA (433 nucleotides) under uncultured bacterium. RNAcentral describes it as "bacterial SSU rRNA". It matches the Rfam family "Bacterial small subunit ribosomal RNA", at positions 30 to 466 of the family's 1533-position model. The record is from RNAcentral.